Molecule: long non-coding RNA, 238 nt
Filed under: Medicago truncatula (barrel medic)
Lineage: Eukaryota; Viridiplantae; Streptophyta; Magnoliopsida; Fabales; Fabaceae
Description: lncRNA gene34054
Source: RNAcentral
GCUUUUUAUUGAUGAUUUUCCUCCUCCUUAUACAUUGGAAUAGGGUUAGGUAUAACUAAAUUUAUAAACUACAUUUCUUCUAUGCAAAUAACUAACUUUGACCAUAUGGUAAGACACAUUUCUCGUUUUUUGUUGUUUUGUAUGAAUCAGCUUAGAUGCAUAGGGAAAUAAUAAAAUCAAAUUUAUGAUGGCUUGCAAAUUUGGUGAAGGACUAAAAGCUUUCUUAGGAAAAGGUUAA